CCUACGGGGGGCAGCAGUGGGGAAUUUUGGACAAUGGGCGCAAGCCUGAUCCAGCAAUGCCGCGUGCAGGAAGAAGGCCUUCGGGUUGUAAACUGCUUUUGUGAACCGGUCGGUACCGUAAGAAUAAGCACCGGCUAACUACGUGCCAGCAGCCGCGGUAAUACGUAGGGUGCGAGCGUUAAUCGGAAUUACUGGGCGUAAAGCGUGCGCAGGCGGUUAUGUAAGACAGAUGUGAAAUCCCCGGGCUCAACCUGGGAAUUGCGUCUGUGACUGCAUAGCUAGAGUACGGUAGAGGGGGAUGGAAUUCCGCGUGUAGCAGUGAAAUGCGUAGAUAUGCGGAGGAACACCGAUGGCGAAGGCAAUCCCCUGGCCGUACUGACGCUCAUGCACGAAAGCGGGGGAGCAAACAGGAUUAGAUACCUUGUAGUC
RNAcentral lists this ribosomal RNA (429 nucleotides) under uncultured bacterium. Its description in RNAcentral is "partial 16S ribosomal RNA". It matches the Rfam family "Bacterial small subunit ribosomal RNA", at positions 338 to 795 of the family's 1533-position model. The record is from RNAcentral.